RNAcentral lists this unclassified non-coding RNA (272 nucleotides) under plant metagenome. Its description in RNAcentral is "partial contains small subunit ribosomal RNA, internal transcribed spacer 1, and 5.8S ribosomal RNA". The record is from RNAcentral.
UUUCCGUAGGUGAACCUGCGGAAGGAUCAUUAAUGAGUUGUCAUGGGGUUCGAUGCUGGCAGCCAGUUUUUGGAUGCAUGUGCUCGCCCUAACAAUCAUCUUCUUCCAAACACCUGUGCACAUUUUUGAGGGAGUCUUGAGUUGGUUGCCGCUCUUGGGUGGUUUUCUCACAUUCCCUUAAAUCAUUAUACGCUAUUAACAAUGUUGAACGUGCUCUGUGCUGCAAGGCCAUUAAUAUAAUACAACUUUUAACAACGGAUCUCUUGGCUCUC